CGGGCCUUUACAGGUCUGGCAAUUGGAAUGAGAACAAUUUAAAUCCCUUAUCGAGUAUCAAUUGGAGGGCAAGUCUGGUGCCAGCAGCCGCGGUAAUUCCAGCUCCAAUAGCGUAUAUUAAAGUUGUUGCAGUUAAAAAGCUCGUAGUUGGAUUUCUGGCAGGAGCGUCCGGUCUCACACUCAGUGCGGGAACUUGGAUGUCUCUGGCCAUCUUUGGGGAUAUCCUGUUUGGCAUUAAGUUGUCGGGCAGGGGAUACCCAUCGUUUACUGUGAAAAAAUUAGAGUGUUUAAAGCAGGCUUAUGCCGUUGAAUAUAUUAGCAUGGAAUAAUAAGAUAGGACGUAGGUACUAUUUUGUCGGUUUGCGCACCCACGUAAUGAUUAAUAGAGACAGGCGGGGCUAUUCGUAUUGCAUUGUCAGAGGUGAAAUUCUUGGAUUUCUGCAAGACGAACUACUGCGAAAGCAUUUAGCAAGGAUGUUUUCAUUAAUCAAGAACGAAAGUUAGGGGAUC
RNAcentral lists this ribosomal RNA (510 nucleotides) under uncultured diatom. RNAcentral describes it as "SSU rRNA". It matches the Rfam family "Eukaryotic small subunit ribosomal RNA", at positions 487 to 999 of the family's 1831-position model. The record is from RNAcentral. Lineage: Eukaryota; Bacillariophyta.